GAAACACCAAUAUUUUCUAUGCAGGACAAUUUACCGGUCAUCAGCGUUACAAGCGAUCUGCAUCUGCGCCUUGGACCGGGCAGGGUCACCGUUGCAAAUGUAUCUUGCACCAAUGGGAGUCGAGUGCAUAUUAGCCUCCAAAUUGCAGCGCCCACGCACCAACGUGAGACCCGAGCGGUGCUUGUGUCAACGUGUCGCAGUAACUUUGCAAAUCGCACAUGUCUUCAACUCAUCUGUCUUACGCCACUGCUUUGCAGCUGCCCCUGGCUCACUGGCGGUGCCGCUUACCACUUCCACCAGUGGUCUCAGCCCCGACCAGUUGGGCAUCCUUCUCCAGAAUCUGCAGCACAGCCUGGACCAGCGCGGUGCUUCUCGCCUUACCAUUGGCUUUGCGCUGGCCCUGGCCUUGCAAACAAGUGGCUCCAUCGAACCUACGGGGAACACGUCCAGGGGCAGCUGUCCUUCAACAACCCUGAUUGCUAAGCUGCUGCUUCCGGCGGUGACUUUGUGCCUGACGCCAUUGUACGCGAAGCGGUUGUGCGAUGUCCCUUUGGCACAAAACCUAUCUCACCAUCAGGGUCCUGAGGCAGGCGUGCAGGUGGGCCUCCCCCGCUGACAGUUUCAGCAGUAGAUGAUCGCUUUAUUUUUACAGCACCAUGCAUGUCAAGGCUCGGCACUGGGCAAUGAGGCGUGUCCGCCGACAGCUCGUACAAUCCCGCUUUUGCAUUGCAAGCUGU
This 737-nucleotide long non-coding RNA is filed under the name Volvox carteri. RNAcentral's name for it is "long non-coding RNA (VCAR_LNC001363)". The record is from RNAcentral. Lineage: Eukaryota; Viridiplantae; Chlorophyta; Chlorophyceae; Chlamydomonadales; Volvocaceae.